This 473-nucleotide ribosomal RNA is filed under the name Neisseria pharyngis. RNAcentral describes it as "bacterial SSU rRNA". It matches the Rfam family "Bacterial small subunit ribosomal RNA", at positions 30 to 491 of the family's 1533-position model. Lineage: Bacteria; Pseudomonadati; Pseudomonadota; Betaproteobacteria; Neisseriales; Neisseriaceae. The record is from RNAcentral.
AUUGAACGCUGGCGGCAUGCUUUACACAUGCAAGUCGGACGGCAGCACAGAGAAGCUUGCUUCUUGGGUGGCGAGUGGCGAACGGGUGAGUAACAUAUCGGAACGUACCGAGCAGUGGGGGAUAACUAAUCGAAAGAUUAGCUAAUACCGCAUAUUUUCUGAGGAAGAAAGCAGGGGACCAUUUGGCCUUGCGCUGUUUGAGCGGCCGAUAUCUGAUUAGCUAGUUGGUGGGGUAAAGGCCUACCAAGGCGACGAUCAGUAGCGGGUCUGAGAGGAUGAUCCGCCACACUGGGACUGAGACACGGCCCAGACUCCUACGGGAGGCAGCAGUGGGGAAUUUUGGACAAUGGGCGCAAGCCUGAUCCAGCCAUGCCGCGUGUCUGAAGAAGGCCUUCGGGUUGUAAAGGACUUUUGUCAGGGAAGAAAAGGAUAGGGUUAAUACCCCUGUCUGAUGACGUACCUGAAGAAUAAGC